AUGAACGCUGGCGGCGUGCCUAAUACAUGCAAGUCGAGCGAACAGACGAGGAGCUUGCUCCUCUGACGUUAGCGGCGGACGGGUGAGUAACACGUGGAUAACCUACCUAUAAGACUGGGAUAACUUCGGGAAACCGGAGCUAAUACCGGAUAAUAUAUUGAACCGCAUGGUUCAAUAGUGAAAGACGGUUUUGCUGUCACUUAUAGAUGGAUCCGCGCCGUAUUAGCUAGUUGGUAAGGUAACGGCUUACCAAGGCGACGAUACGUAGCCG
RNAcentral lists this ribosomal RNA (271 nucleotides) under uncultured bacterium. RNAcentral describes it as "partial 16S ribosomal RNA". It matches the Rfam family "Bacterial small subunit ribosomal RNA", at positions 29 to 289 of the family's 1533-position model. The record is from RNAcentral.